UAACAUUUAGUUUAAAUUAAAAACAAAGAUCUGUGGAGUCUUAAUUAUCAGUGAUAAUGUUAU
RNAcentral lists this transfer RNA (63 nucleotides) under Planorbis planorbis. RNAcentral's name for it is "tRNA-His". Lineage: Eukaryota; Metazoa; Mollusca; Gastropoda; Planorbidae. The record is from RNAcentral.